This 366-nucleotide ribosomal RNA is filed under the name Fidena flavipennis. RNAcentral's name for it is "eukaryotic LSU rRNA". It matches the Rfam family "Eukaryotic large subunit ribosomal RNA", at positions 2537 to 2846 of the family's 3401-position model. Lineage: Eukaryota; Metazoa; Arthropoda; Insecta; Diptera; Tabanidae. The record is from RNAcentral.
AAGAGUUUGUUAUAUACACCAAACAAAUAUCAAUUAAAAUUUACUUUCCAUUAAUAAUGGUUUGUUAAAUAUUAAAUGAAUUUGGUAUAACUAUUAUACUCAGGUAUGAUCCAAUUCAAGGACAUUGCCAGGUGGGGAGUUUGACUGGGGCGGUACAUCUCUCAAAUAAUAACGGAGGUGUCCCAAGGCCAGCUCAGUGCGGACAGAAACCACACAUAGAGCAAAAGGGCAAAUGCUGACUUGAUCUCGGUGUUCAGUACAUACAGAGACAGCAAAAGCUCGGCCUAUCGAUCCUUUUGGUUUAAAGAGUUUUUAACAAGAGGUGUCAGAAAAGUUACCACAGGGAUAACUGGCUUGUGGCGGCCA